GAUACGGCGUGAACGGCCGGCCUCAAAUUGGCCUCUCGAGCCAAAGAUCCCGGGUUCAAAUCCCGGCCGGGGCA
This 74-nucleotide transfer RNA is filed under the name Thermofilum sp. NZ13. RNAcentral's name for it is "tRNA-Glu". Lineage: Archaea; Thermoproteati; Thermoproteota; Thermoprotei; Thermofilales; Thermofilaceae. The record is from RNAcentral.